CCUCCAUCUUGACACACAUGUUGUUGCUCAGUACUCAAUGUGUGAUUAUUCGGAGGUAGAUCAAAGCUAGUGCUAUGUCUUCGGUACCAGUGUGUGUUAUUGUCUGCUGGUUCUAUCCUCAAUCACUAGCACAAUG
Molecule: small nucleolar RNA, 136 nt
Organism: Esox lucius (northern pike)
Lineage: Eukaryota; Metazoa; Chordata; Actinopteri; Esociformes; Esocidae
Product: small nucleolar RNA SNORA57
Source: Ensembl